AUUUUAUCACACGUGUUCACAAGCACAUUCAGCAAUAUGUGUAUAAAUGUAUGUGGCCGAGCAGUAUAACGAAAUAGUAAUAAUUUAUUGUUGUGUCUUAGAAUAAUUUACAAAAAGGAAUCGGUUUUAGGCGGAUUCGACUCUUUACUGUUCUAAGGAGCCGAUUCAUAGAACCGAGCCGACUCGAUUCGACCUUCACCAGGCAAGCAACGGCUCUUCUAAUUUGAAAUCCACCUGUCGCCUUUUCCUCCAGUGAAUUCAUCCUCGGUAAGUGUUUAAAAGUCAAAUUCUGUUCGUUAAAGGAUUGUUUUGUGUAUAUUUCCGUGUAGUGUGUGUGUAAUUUAAAAUAAUUAACCAAGUUACUUCAGUUGUAGGUUCUUAUGUCACGUUAUUCGACGCCAGACCGUGUUUGUAGUGUUUGCGAGGUAUUAGAUAACGUUAAGUGAGUUUAUCUUAAGUGAGUUUUUGACCAUAGUAACGUUACCUGAAAAAAAAAACUUUUACUUGGGGUUAACUACAUUAAUGAAUUCUGUAUUUCAGCACAACACUGAGAUGAAGGCAAAGUCACCAUGAAAAGUUAAACGUUUAACGUUAAGCUACAGCAAUUGAUGUUGAAAAACUGAUGCUACCAAUCUCUCCUCACUUGAUUAUUCAAGUAGCGACGCAGUGGCACAGUAGGUAGUGCUGUCGCUUCACAGCAAGAAGGUUGCUGGUUCAAGCCUCGACUGGGUCAGUUGGCUGAAUACAAUGGCAUAAUGAUUCUGCUUGCUCACAGGAGCUCAGAUUGUGAUGAACCUGGAAUGCGACACCAGUUACUCUUAAGUCAAGAACCAAAUAAAGCACAGAUGUGGAGGGAUCUACAACUAAACUAA
RNAcentral lists this long non-coding RNA (872 nucleotides) under Danio rerio (zebrafish). RNAcentral's name for it is "lncRNA (ENSDARG00000117687.1)". The record is from RNAcentral. Lineage: Eukaryota; Metazoa; Chordata; Actinopteri; Cypriniformes; Danionidae.